RNAcentral lists this ribosomal RNA (460 nucleotides) under uncultured bacterium. Its description in RNAcentral is "partial 16S ribosomal RNA". It matches the Rfam family "Bacterial small subunit ribosomal RNA", at positions 338 to 795 of the family's 1533-position model. The record is from RNAcentral.
CCUACGGGAGGCAGCAGUGAGGAAUAUUGGUCAAUGGACGAGAGUCUGAACCAGCCAAGUAGCGUGAAGGAUGACUGCCCUAUGGGUUGUAAACUUCUUUUAUAUGGGAAUAAAAUGUUCCACGUGUGGGAUUUUGUAUGUACCAUAUGAAUAAGGAUCGGCUAACUCCGUGCCAGCAGCCGCGGUAAUACGGAGGAUCCGAGCGUUAUCCGGAUUUAUUGGGUUUAAAGGGAGCGUAGGUGGAUUGUUAAGUCAGUUGUGAAAGUUUGCGGCUCAACCGUAAAAUUGCAGUUGAAACUGGCAGUCUUGAGUACAGUAGAGGUGGGCGGGAUUCGUGGUGUAGCGGUGAAAUGCUUAGAUAUCACGAAGAACUCCGAUUGCGAAGGCAGUUCACUGGACUGCAACUGACACUGAGGCUCGAAAGUGUGUGUAUCAAACAGGAUUAGAUACCCCAGUAGUC